Molecule: ribosomal RNA, 459 nt
Filed under: Corynebacterium simulans
Lineage: Bacteria; Bacillati; Actinomycetota; Actinomycetes; Mycobacteriales; Corynebacteriaceae
Description: bacterial SSU rRNA
Rfam family: Bacterial small subunit ribosomal RNA
Source: RNAcentral
CGGCGUGCUUAACACAUGCAAGUCGAACGGAAAGGCCUCAGCUUGCUGGGGUACUCGAGUGGCGAACGGGUGAGUAACACGUGGGUGAUCUGCCUUGCACUUCGGGAUAAGCUUGGGAAACUGGGUCUAAUACCGGAUAGGACAGCUGUUUAGUGUCAGUUGUGGAAAGUUUUUUCGGUGCAAGAUGAGCUCGCGGCCUAUCAGCUUGUUGGUGGGGUAAUGGCCUACCAAGGCGUCGACGGGUAGCCGGCCUGAGAGGGUGGACGGCCACAUUGGGACUGAGAUACGGCCCAGACUCCUACGGGAGGCAGCAGUGGGGAAUAUUGCACAAUGGGCGGAAGCCUGAUGCAGCGACGCCGCGUGGGGGAUGAAGGCCUUCGGGUUGUAAACUCCUUUCGACAGGGACGAAGCUUUUGUGACGGUACCUGUAUAAGAAGCACCGGCUAACUACGUGCCAGC